GGAGCCUGUUGUACCUGGGGUACCCGAAGCUGUCUGCAGGGGUUUUCUGCUCGCUCACCGUACUUUUCUGGCACCUUUCGUGACUUUCCUGGUUAAUUAAGCUCUGCAACGCACACAGAUUGAAAAUGUGACUUCACAAAACUCCAACAACAUAUGUUGUGUUGCUUCUAUCGCCGCAAGCAUGUGACAGAGUUUAUUUGGUGCUUCCCCACGGGCUGCCUGCUCUGCUCUUUCCUCCAGGAACCCUCCCAGCACUGCCAAAUCUGAGCUUCUUGCACCGGGGAUCCCCCUGCCCCCAUAACGUUGAAUAAAUGUUCUUGUGUACAAACACAAGAUGAUGCAUUGGGCUGCGCAUGGAAAUUCUGGGAAGCCCUGGGGAAAUGCUGAUGUUAAAGCUUGUAACUCUGCUCUUCCAUCUGCAGGUUGGCAGGUCACAGGGGGGAAGCUUUCCUGUCCUUAAACCUGAAGGAUAUCAUUGACUGAAGUACAUCCCACUGAAGGCCUGGUGAUUCAGUCACUUUGCUCACACAGGCUUUACUCUGAAGAGCAGAGAUGAUGGCUGUAUCCCACCUGUCUGUGCAUGCCAUGAAGUGGGGCUGCUACCAUGAACGACUGCACAGCAGCAAGUGUAACACUGAUCCUGAGCUUGGGAUGGGACACAUCACCGUGGCUGAAGUUCACUUCCUCACAUUGAGCAGCAGCAGUUCCCACUUCUCUCUGGACGCUGACAGCUCAGCACUAGGCUCUGGCCUUCUUCCUUCUGAAGCUGUGAAGGGCUUGGAUGAGCUAUUUGGUAAUAGCUGACCCAGGACCCAAGCCUUGCUGGCUUCCCGACUGUCCAGCCCCACUUGCAGAGCUCAGUUCUGUACCAGGUAAGAAAAUGAAGGGGCUAACCACGUUCUGCAUGGCAAACCAAAGCGUUUAGGGAAGGCAGGCACCUGAUCCUCCCACUGCUACUACUAUGGAAACAUGUCAGAGAAGAGAACCUGUUGCCAUGAUACUGUAAAAAUAACCUGGUGUCAGCCACUGUGGAGACGCUGAGUGGCUGCUCUACAUGGGCUGUGUGAGUGGCUCCAACACAGGGACCUGGCACCGUGCAUGCAGGGAGGUGGCUCUCUGACAGCUUCAGGUGAUAAGUCCAUGUGAGUUUUAACCUGUGUACGUGACACUUAAAGCUGAAGUGGGCAGCCUCGGUUUGUGCAGAUGUGG
Long non-coding RNA from Pezoporus occidentalis (night parrot), 1209 nucleotides. RefSeq lists it as uncharacterized. The transcript is spliced from 3 exons. Lineage: Eukaryota; Metazoa; Chordata; Aves; Psittaciformes; Psittacidae. The record is from RefSeq and is a predicted model, not a curated record.